CUUACCACGGUGGGGUUCAUGACUGGGGUGAAGUCGUAACAAGGUAGCCGUAGGGGAACCUGCGGCUGGAUCACCUCCUUA
RNAcentral lists this ribosomal RNA (81 nucleotides) under Alcanivorax sp. 1008. RNAcentral's name for it is "partial 16S ribosomal RNA". It matches the Rfam family "Bacterial small subunit ribosomal RNA", at positions 1453 to 1533 of the family's 1533-position model. The record is from RNAcentral. Lineage: Bacteria; Pseudomonadati; Pseudomonadota; Gammaproteobacteria; Oceanospirillales; Alcanivoracaceae.